UAAUACAGAGGGUGCGAGCGUUAAUCGGAAUUACUGGGCGUAAAGCGCACGUAGGUGGCUUGACAAGUCGGUUGUGAAAGCCCCGGGCUCAACCUGGGAACUGCAUCCGAGACUGUCUUGCUAGAGUAUGGGAGAGGGAAGUGGAAUUUCCGGUGUAGCGGUGAAAUGCGUAGAUAUCGGAAGGAACAUCAGUGGCGAAGGCGACUUCCUGGACCAAUACUGACACUCAAGUGCGAAAGCGUGGGGAGCAAACAGGAUUAGAUACCCUGGUAGUCCACGCCAUAAACGAUGAGAACUGGAUGUCGGGAGGGUCUGCCUCUCGGUGUCGUAGCUAACGCGUUAAGUUCUCCGCCUGGGGAGUACGGCCGCAAGGUUG
Molecule: ribosomal RNA, 376 nt
Filed under: uncultured bacterium
Lineage: Bacteria
Description: bacterial SSU rRNA
Rfam family: Bacterial small subunit ribosomal RNA
Source: RNAcentral